GCCGGGGUGGUGGAAUUGGCAGACACACAGGACUUAAAAUCCUGCGGUAGGUGACUACCGUGUUAGGUUCAAGUCAGACCCUCGGCA
Molecule: transfer RNA, 87 nt
Filed under: Bacillus subtilis
Lineage: Bacteria; Bacillati; Bacillota; Bacilli; Caryophanales; Bacillaceae
Description: tRNA-Leu
Rfam family: tRNA
About the family: Transfer RNA (tRNA) molecules are approximately 80 nucleotides in length. Their secondary structure includes four short double-helical elements and three loops (D, anti-codon, and T loops).
Source: RNAcentral